This 495-nucleotide ribosomal RNA is filed under the name uncultured bacterium. RNAcentral's name for it is "partial 16S ribosomal RNA". It matches the Rfam family "Bacterial small subunit ribosomal RNA", at positions 28 to 507 of the family's 1533-position model. The record is from RNAcentral.
GACGAACGCUGGCGGCGUGCCUAAUACAUGCAAGUAGAACGCUGACGGAGGAGCUUGCUUCUCUGGAUGAGUUGCGAACGGGUGAGUAACGCGUAGGUAACCUGCCUGGUAGCGGGGGAUAACUAUUGGAAACGAUAGCUAAUACCGCAUAAGAGUAGAUGUUGCAUGACAUUUGCUUAAAAGGUGCAAUUGCAUCACUACCAGAUGGACCUGCGUUGUAUUAGCUAGUUGGUGGGGUAACGGCUCACCAAGGCGACGAUACAUAGCCGACCUGAGAGGGUGAUCGGCCAGACUGGGACUGAGACACGGGUCAGACUCCUACGGGAGGCAGCAGUAGGGAAUCUUCGGCAAUGGACGUAAGUCUGACCGAGCAACGCCGCGUGAGUGAAGAAGGUUUUCGGAUCGUAAAGCUCUGUUGUAAGAGAAGAACGAGUGUGAGAGUGGAAAGUUCACACUGUGACGGUAUCUUACCAGAAAGGGACGGCUAACUACGUG